Lytechinus variegatus (green sea urchin) is the source of this 609-nucleotide long non-coding RNA. RefSeq lists it as uncharacterized. The record is from RefSeq and is a predicted model, not a curated record. The transcript is spliced from 4 exons. NCBI's taxonomy places the organism in Eukaryota, Metazoa, Echinodermata, Echinoidea, Temnopleuroida, Toxopneustidae.
UGACGUCGCCAUUGCUGAAUUGGAUCAAGAGAAUACUGGCUACUGGAAGAAGUCACUACGCAACAGAUUCAGGAAUUGCAGGAAGUGUCAUGAACGUGAUAAUCAAUUAGGACAAAUGGAAGCAAAAAAAAGGGGACUACACCCAAACCAGACAAAGCUGCAGGCAAACACAUGUAUGGCAUAAAGAAAGUACCUUCCUGCAUUCCCAGAAGGUGAGGAUGAAGAAAUGAUCAAUGUUCACAUCAAGAUGCUUCAGAAUGAAUCCAGAAAAACAAGACAGGACAGCUUGAUGAUAGACAAUCUAGUGUCACUAACUUUAGCCCAUAGGCGCAAGGGUAUCAUCAACAGCAACUGGACUGAAUCCUACUUGAAGGAUAUGUACCCUUACCUUUUCCAUGAAGAUGAGAGUUUGAGAGACUGUCAGAGGACCCAAUUAAGCAGAAGUUGGAAGCAGGACAUUUGAAUAUGCUGAUCCAUUACUAGAGAUAUGUAAGACCCCAAGCAAGGUUUGGAGCUCAAAAACCUGAUCUUGGCUGCAGCAGCAGAAAAUGAAGACACCAGGAAAAUGAUCAAAUCAUGUGGAGCACCUCUGUUGAUUCCUACUAUUUU